UACAGAGGUCUCAAGCGUUGUUCGGAUUCAUUGGGCGUAAAGGGUGCGUAGGCGGCGCGGUAAGUCGGGUGUGAAAUCUCGGGGCUUAACUCCGAAACUGCAUUCGAUACUGCCGUGCUUGAGGACUGGGGAGGAGACUGGAAUUUACGGUGUAGCGGUGAAAUGCGUAGAUAUCGUAAGGAAGACCAGUGGCGAAGGCGGGUCUCUGGACAGUUCCUGACGCUGAGGCACGAAGGUCAGGGGAGCAAACGGG
This 253-nucleotide ribosomal RNA is filed under the name uncultured bacterium. RNAcentral describes it as "partial 16S ribosomal RNA". It matches the Rfam family "Bacterial small subunit ribosomal RNA", at positions 524 to 776 of the family's 1533-position model. The record is from RNAcentral.